RNAcentral lists this microRNA precursor (74 nucleotides) under Myotis davidii. RNAcentral describes it as "mir-9193 microRNA precursor family". It matches the Rfam family "mir-9193 microRNA precursor family". Lineage: Eukaryota; Metazoa; Chordata; Mammalia; Chiroptera; Vespertilionidae. The record is from Rfam by way of RNAcentral.
CUUGGGCUGGGGGUGUCACUCAGCCUGGAAUGCAAGAGGGUGCAGGUCAGGCCGUAGGACCCCACCAGUGCAUG